CUAGAUCUCAGUUUUAUAGCUCUAGAUAAAGACUGUGCUGUUUUCAACAGUUCACCCCAGGGGUGGGGGACAGGGGUCUCCUCCACCGUGUAAUGGAGACACGGCCCUUGCCACUGUCAUUCAAUCCGGAUGACCCCAUGGCUCGCGUUCCCUGCAACAGCUCCUUAAACAGAAGGGCAAGCAAACUGAUUUCCUCUUCCGGCCCAUUUAUGGCAUUGACAGAACUAUGAUGGAAGGGCGACGGGACGCGGGUGGAAUCCUUGUCGGGAAAGCAAGAGAGAAAGGGGGGGCUAGAAAAAGAUCUUGUGAGUUCAGCAGAGUCGGAUGCAAGUGGAGAAUCACUUCCUCUCGCUUCUCAAGAUCUGGCUCAAGAAAUGAAAGGACCACAUGCUUCUCUUCUCCUUUGGAUUAAUCACCAUCUUUCUAGAGUUUACAGACAGGAGACAGAGAGAGGAGAGAGGCAGAGAAAUGCAGCAGAGUGAUCCAGGCUGCCCUGCCAUUCUGGCUGCAUCCACACGGCCGUGAUCUGGACCAUCUCGGGGGCAGAACACAUGGGUUCCCUCUUUUGAGGAGUUCUGUGAUUCAACGGCCAGGAAUAGGGCAUCNUCAGUGGUGGGCCCCCAACUGUGGGACAGCCUUCCCAAUGAGAUUUGAAAAACAGCCACGUCUGAUUUAUAUCUUCUUUUGCAGGUCUUCAAGGAGUAGCUUAGGACCCAGUAUUUUGAUUUUUCUGAAGUCGCUGUGUACCUAGACUCCCCCCCCCCUUGCUUUUACUUUUACAUGUUAUAUUUGCAUUUUUUAAAAAAAUCUAUUUUUAUCUUCUAUUUUUGUUUCAUUUGGUUGUGUGUUUUUUUAAACUAUACACAGCCCUGAGUCUGUGGUACUGGUC
This 889-nucleotide long non-coding RNA is filed under the name Salvator merianae (Argentine black and white tegu). RNAcentral's name for it is "lncRNA (ENSSMRG00000014265.1)". Lineage: Eukaryota; Metazoa; Chordata; Lepidosauria; Squamata; Teiidae. The record is from RNAcentral.